This is a long non-coding RNA of Peromyscus eremicus (cactus mouse), 481 nucleotides long. RefSeq lists it as uncharacterized. The transcript is spliced from 3 exons. Lineage: Eukaryota; Metazoa; Chordata; Mammalia; Rodentia; Cricetidae. The record is from RefSeq and is a predicted model, not a curated record.
GUAUCAGACAGUAGCUGACUCACAGAUAUGGUUGUUUGGACAAUGUCUUGGCUCUUGUCUUUAUGAUGGCUGUGUAACAAAAGGAGCUCAUGAGUCUUCUGCAAAGACAAGGAGGCACAGCAGGAAGUGAAGCACAACAGAAAUGAGGAAUAAUCCACAGUCUCAAAAGAAGAGAGCAAUUCAAGUGAAAUGGCAACUCAUCAUUCAGCAGAAAAUCCACUGUGGAGAACAGAGAGAAAUCAGGGGCACAAUAUUUUCAAAUGCUAAAGAAAGAAGACAGUAUUCUGUAACUCUUGUCCCAAUAAACACAUCAUUCAAGAUGAAGGGGAGAGCAAGCAAUCCUCAGAGGAAGGAGAACUAAAGAUUUAUUACCAGCAGUCAUGUUCUCUAAGAACAGAUAGGGAAGUAUCUCUGAACAGAAGAAAACAAUAAAACAAAGAACUCAGAACUGUGUGAAAGAAGAAAGACCAUUGUAAGCAAA